UACAGAGGUCCCAAGCGUUGUUCGGAAUCACUGGGCGUAAAGCGCACGUAGGCGGAUCUUUAAGUCAGGGGUGAAAUCCUGGAGCUCAACUCCAGAACUGCCUUUGAUACUGGGGAUCUCGAGUCCGGGAGAGGUGAGUGGAACUGCGAGUGUAGAGGUGAAAUUCGUAGAUAUUCGCAAGAACACCAGUGGCGAAGGCGGCUCACUGGCCCGGUACUGACGCUGAGGUGCGAAAGCGUGGGGAGCAAACAGG
This 253-nucleotide ribosomal RNA is filed under the name uncultured bacterium. RNAcentral's name for it is "partial 16S ribosomal RNA". It matches the Rfam family "Bacterial small subunit ribosomal RNA", at positions 524 to 776 of the family's 1533-position model. The record is from RNAcentral.